AGGUCUCUUUGCAGUGACGUGGAAGAGUAGGUGCAGCUGAGUGCAUGGCUGGCUACUUGCCACCAUCUUGUUUUAUUGGGACUGUAGAGGCAGAUGCUUAGAGAUGAUACACAGCUCUAACACAUAUAAAAGUUCAAAGAUGUAAGACACUAACAUUGAGCCUUAUGUGAUCUGAUUUGUUGACCUUCACAGCAGUGACUGUAGACCAGAGGCUAACACUAAAACAUAGACUAGCUGUAGCAGUUAUUGUUUAAUUCAAGCUAACGGAAGGCUGCAGUGUUAUAUCUAUAAAUCUAUUUGAGCCUGUCUGCAUCAGAUUAGAAAAUCAAGUGUAUUCAAUCAUUUUCUAAUCUGCUGUUUACUAUUGUGGAAAGGGGUUUAUGAGAUGCAGUGUGUUUGUUUUUACAAAUAUAGUCUGACAGGGUGACUUACCUUCUGAAGAAGCUCUUUAUUCUCAUUUCUUUUUAGGUAACUAGGGAAGAAAAGCUGUCUAGAAACUGUCAUUGUAAAAAAGUACAUACUUCUGAGCACCUAAUUAGAAAGUUCUCUUUGCUACUUUGAACAGGUUUUGGCUCUGCUUUGUGUAAGUUCAGAAUUCUUCACUGUCUUCCCUUAACAUGCCUCUGGCUGCAUCCAUAAUGCUUUAGGCCUCUGGGAAAGACUCAGCUCAAGUCCAGAGGACCUAUGUUCCUCGAGGAACAGGACUUUCACACGACCAGUCAGAUCACCUCACAUGCUCUGCAGUGAUUUCAGGCUGCCAGCACGUAUUCUGUGCCCCCUCCAUGAGGCAUGCUUUCGUAGAGUCACAGACAGCAGAUCCCUGUGCAUGGCUGCACAGGCACGUAUCAAGGCCAAUUAGGUUUUUCCACCACCAGCAGAAGGGUGCCCUCUCACACAAUAGAAAACUAAAUUUUGAAUAGCAACCUGCCUUCCCCAUGUCACCCCAUGGUUACAACCAAAGUCACACAACUGUCUUGUAGGCUUAGCAGAGCAGCGCCCAUGCUGAUCCUUUGGCUUGCUCAAGAAACACAAUCCCUUCCACACACAUCUAAGAACCUGGCCUAACACCCCUCAGCCCAACACUGGAUCUGGCUUGGGAACUUCGUUGUCUCAUUGUACAGUGGGACAGAAGGUUGGCAUGGGAGUCUUCUUUUGAAGAACUGUCCCAGGCAGAAAGGACAAGGCUUGGCACCAGCUCUCUGCUAAAAAUAGCUGUCUGCCUAUUUCACAAACAUCCCUAUCUGUCAGCUGGGCACUUGGUACCAGGUCUAUCAAGGAUGCUUUUCAUAGCAAAGGUUACUAGAACAAGGUAUAUACUGUGAGAUGAAUUUUACUUGUUAUGGGAACUCCACAUCUCUGAAGUGCUUUUGCAAUGGGGACCUUCUGCAGAGGGGCCUCUUGACAGUCUUUCACAAUGCCUUCAGGGUUGGCAUGUCCCAUUAUAAGCCCAACUGGAAACCAAACAUUUCAAAAUAUUUUGGGCACCUGAAAAAUUGUCCUUUCUAGUGCUUUUAGUGACUUUGAGCUGUUGUGACCAUGGAGUAUUGUUUUCUGAGGCCUGGCUGCAAGAGCUUCUUCUUUACAAUGAGCUAUUGUGAGGGAGGAGAGCAAAGGCAUUGUGUCCUGACUGGUAAUAAUAAUCUAAGUCUUCUUCCUCAUUAUCUCCAGAAGGAAGGAGAACUGUCUUUUUCUGUGUGCUUUGACUUUUUAAAGGCCUGAUGGGAUAGAAUGACUACUAAUAUGAAGUGGCUACAACUCUAAUGUGGAGGAAGAGAGGAUCUGCUGCCUGUGUGCAGCAGCUGAAGUGUUUGGUGCCAGCAGGGACCGUUUGUAGAACAACCAAGUGUCCAUGCACUGGGAACUGUGUGGCAGUGAUGCUGCUUUCUGGGAGUGCCACAGGGACAGCACCUCAUAUCAGUGACCAACUCAUACCAGUCACUGACAAAAGAGAGCAGCAACCCCACAGCUGUGAUCUAACACAUGCUGGAUAUAUUUGGUUCAGGAAACUAACCUCUUUUUUAGCAGUAUUUGUUUUAAGUUGAAUUAUGAGGCACCUGCUGCAAAUGCAUUGGUUUGAAAAGAGAUGAUGUUUACCUGAGAGGCUGCAGUGUGCUGAGCCCUGCAUAAUGCAUGAUGAAAAGCUUUCAGUUUCUCAGAGAUGGCCUGAAGUGAAAGCAUUCUACAGGCAUAAAAUAUAAAGGAACAACAUCACACUGGAAGUAUUUUGGCUUUUUUUUUUCUUUAUUAUCUCUAAUAUACACAACUAUUUAUAUAUAUUUGAACCCACACAAUAAACAGCUGUUCAGAACACACUUGCUUCCCGAAAAUCUCAUCUAAGUUACUCAUCUGUAGCCCUUCCCAAGGAUUUAUGACACAUCUAGUGCAAAUUAUUAAAACUUUGUCUGCUAUAGAAAUAUUAUUGUCUUUCCUGCUGUAUUCAGAACCAGAUUGUUUAGACCUGCUUGAUGAUGUCCUAAAGUCUAAUAUUUAGCAAGAAAUAAACCAGCUAGAAUGCACACAAUGCUCAAGUUUUGAAGUUAUGGCAUGCUUAUCUCCUAAUAGAUUAUGUAAAGUAAUGCUUUGAAAUCAGAUUUAGUAGUGUAAAUGACUUUGUCCUUUGUUUCCACAUAUUAAGCAGUACCUGAGAUACCUACCUUUCCUUGUAGGAUGAUAGAAACGUCCCUUACCUUGUAAACUCUCCAACAGUUCUGCUUUUUUUCUUUGCAAUAUAUAGGUCUUGUUGUUCCAUAGUUAGAAGUUUUCUGUGACUGCCUGACUUGCCUGCCUGAAAAUACAUUCAAAUGAUAUGUACAAAGGGACAGGACAGGCCCAUACGUCUGAUUUCUACAGAGCAGCCAAUGAGGAAGCAUGGAACAGAAGCUUUGCUGAAAUUAUGCCCUGGACACAGACCAGGAGUAUCUGCAAACAGUGAAGGCCAUCAGUUGGACCAGAUGUCACACUGGAAUUAAUGGGUAAGUACCAGGAGCAGACAUGACUGUAGGUUUGGGAGUGAGGAAGCUGGAAAUGAGAAGGGUGAGCAGUGAACAGGGGAAUCGGAGGGGGCAGCAGCCCCUUGAGUUCACAGCUCAGUGCUGUGUGGCUGGAGCAAGGAAAGCCUACUCCUCUUGUUCCUGCAGUCUGAGAAAGAGGCAUUUGGUAUGCUUGUUUUUCUUUGUAAAUGAAUAUGAUUACACUAAGAAUAUACCUUUCUUCUAGCACCAAACUGUCCCUCAAAUGGAACAGUUCUGCAAGGUCUGAAAAUUUGACUCACUUUUCAAGCAGCAGUGAGGAAAAAACCCCAAACAACGCAUUUCCCUUCCUGCCUUAUGUAGCUGAGUGUAAAAGACUAUGGGUUUGUAUCACAGCUGGCCUGGAAGUGCAGUCCUUAAGCAGAAAGAGGAAGCCUUAACACAUCCUCUCCUGCAACAGAUUAUGUUUGGAUUUAAUACUUGUCAUUUUGAGAACAGUCUU
Long non-coding RNA from Pseudopipra pipra, 3471 nucleotides. RefSeq lists it as uncharacterized. The transcript has 2 exons. Lineage: Eukaryota; Metazoa; Chordata; Aves; Passeriformes; Pipridae. The record is from RefSeq and is a predicted model, not a curated record.